UUUUAACUGUAUAUCAUGAGUCCUAUCCACUGGGUAGUUUAGACGAUGGUAGAAUGUGCACCAUUUUCAUCUUACUUUUUACUUGUUAAUACUCUUGGGAAUAGUUGAUACUGAAAUAGUAAUUAAGCAUAGCCCUUUCUGUGCAUAGUCCAUUGUACAAAUGCCGUCUUGCACAUAAUCUUCCUUUCAAAUUAAUCUAAAAGUUCAGUUUCCUGUCCAGUUUUAUUGGUCAGUAAAGCUGGGAUUUUGAUAUAAAACCAAAAUAGGUUUAUUGUCUCCUUCAACCCUGCUCCUGAUGGCUUCCAUGAAAGGGUAACAGCUAUGGCAAUUGGAAUCGGGCAGUUAUUGGUGAGAUGGCCAGAAUCGUCUGUGCUUGCUUCAGAGCCUGACGUUGAUUGAAUGCUCUUGAAUGUUCAGCAGCUCACUGGUCCUGUGAGUUAGACUUCUUGAAGAGUACAUGGUCUUUUGCACUUCCUCCCAUCAUCAGCCCAGUGCCAAUGUCUGCUGUGCAACUCAAGUCUACGCAGAGAACUUUAAACUUCAAGCAGUUGCUGCAAAGCAGUUGUGGUGCAAGAAAACACUGUGUUCAUCUCAAUCACCACCUUUCUCCUUGUCCUUUGCCAUUGAGAGGUGAGGAUGACCCCAGAUUGGAGGAGGAGGAGCUGCUAGGCAGUGACAGGCAGGAGAAGGGAAUGUGCUGGGCCCAGAUCAAUCUGACAUCUUCAAAAUAGUUGUGUGAUUGUUUGUUUUGCCUUCCUUCCUAUUCCCCACCGCCAGUUGAAUCAGCAUGUUCUUCCAAGCUGACUUUCCACCUUUGUUUUCUUCUCCAUUUCUUUUAUAGCAGAAAUUGAUUGUUUCUUCCACUCUCUGAAACAAACUAGAUUUAAUGAAUGCUUACUCCUUUACAGUGGACCUUCAAGUUACGUACCGCUCUGGACAUGUAACUUUCAGGUUGCAAACGUGGCAAACCCGGAAGUGUAUACUUCCGGGUUUCGCUGCGCAUGCGCGGUAGCGCUCUGUAGUGCCGCGUGCAUGCGCAGAAGCAGCGCCUCGAGUUACGGACUUUUCAGGUUAAAUAUGGACCCCCGGAACGAAUUUAAUUCGUAUCCGGAGGCUCCACUUUAUAUGCUGCUUUAAGAUCUACAAGUUAACCUUUCUUCCACAAGAAAAUAGGCCUGUGAGUGCUCAGAGAAAGAACCUUGCCUGCCAUGCACUAAUACUAAUCCAUUAUAGAUGUCAAGUCCAAAAGGUUCUGUACUACUGAGCUUUUAAUGGUUUUUUACCUGUUCAGUUCACAUCUGUUCAUUGCCAAUAUUAUAUUCACAUUAGAUUGCAGAAUGGUCCUGCUUCUGAUGUUAUAUCUUAGUAUUUUGGUUCUGGUUUUCUUUGAUUAAGUGGAGAUUCAAAUUUGUUAUUUUAAUUUUUUUUAAAAUAGAUAUGCUUGUUUCAGUUUUGUUCUUUCUAUCACUUUUUUUAAAGCUGCCUUUUAAUUUAUAAUUUAAGUUACAUAAAAUGUAUGAAUCUUUUUUUUAAAAGAAGAAAUGAAUUGCAUUGCAACUGGGCUUCAGGUAAAUAUCAAAGCACUUAAACAUCUCCUGUGUUUAAGAAUCCUUGGCCUUUGGAUAUAAUUUUUUUCAUCUCUUUGUCUGAUUCAGUGGCAUAUAGCAGCAUUGGACAAUAAUCUGGGGAGGCAUCAUAGCUUAGUGGGUAAAGCACAUGCUUUAGAUAAAGAGGGUUUUAGGUUCAAACCUGGUUCCUUCUUUCAACCAGACUGGAAAGAACCUCCAAGGCAAUACUGGGCUAGGUGUCCAAUGGCAUGGCUUGGUAUAUGUUCCCCUUGUUGCUUAUACAGUGGUACCUUGGUUCUCGAACAGCUUAGUUGUCGAACAAAUGGCUCCCGAACGGUGCAAACUCGGAAGUAAGUGUUCCGAUAGGCGAACGUUUUUUGGAAACUGAACAUCUGAUACGAAUUCCAAUUGAGUGCAGAAAGCUCUUGCAGCCAAUCAGAAGCCACACCUUGGUUUUCAAACCGUUUCAGGAGUCGAACGGACUCCUGGAAUGGAUUAAGUUCGAGAACCAAGGUACCACUGUAUCUGUUAUUUAAAAAUCUCAUAGAAAUUGAUGCACUUUUUCAUUCCAAACCAGGGUCCAAUAAUAUUCAGUGUUCUAUUCCUCUUUUUCCCUGAUAUUAUUAUUCCCCAAAUGAACUUUGUAAAACGCUCUUGCUUGGUAGGUAAUUUUGCUAUAUCGAUGAAUGGGGCUACACGAUGAAAAGAGCAUAUAAAAUCGGCAUUAACUUUGCUAGUUAACUUUCUUUUAAUUGGCAACAUUGAAAUAAACAACGUUUUGAAUAAAUAAACUGCAUUAAAUGUAA
Podarcis muralis (Common wall lizard) is the source of this 2374-nucleotide non-coding RNA. The record is from RefSeq and is a predicted model, not a curated record. NCBI's taxonomy places the organism in Eukaryota, Metazoa, Chordata, Lepidosauria, Squamata, Lacertidae.